Molecule: ribosomal RNA, 464 nt
Filed under: Vreelandella stevensii
Lineage: Bacteria; Pseudomonadati; Pseudomonadota; Gammaproteobacteria; Oceanospirillales; Halomonadaceae
Description: partial 16S ribosomal RNA
Rfam family: Bacterial small subunit ribosomal RNA
Source: RNAcentral
CCUACGGGAGGCAGCAGUGGGGAAUAUUGGACAAUGGGCGAAAGCCUGAUCCAGCCAUGCCGCGUGUGUGAAGAAGGCCUUCGGGUUGUAAAGCACUUUCAGUGGGGAAGAAAGCCUUGGGGCUAAUACCCUCGAGGAAGGACAUCACCCACAGAAGAAGCACCGGCUAACUCCGUGCCAGCAGCCGCGGUAAUACGGAGGGUGCGAGCGUUAAUCGGAAUUACUGGGCGUAAAGCGCGCGUAGGCGGUCUGAUAAGCCGGUUGUGAAAGCCCCGGGCUCAACCUGGGAACGGCAUCCGGAACUGUCAGGCUAGAGUGCAGGAGAGGAAGGUAGAAUUCCCGGUGUAGCGGUGAAAUGCGUAGAGAUCGGGAGGAAUACCAGUGGCGAAGGCGGCCUUCUGGACUGACACUGACGCUGAGGUGCGAAAGCGUGGGUAGCAAACAGGAUUAGAUACCCCAGUGUC